GAGAAGGUUCUUCAGUAGCCUGAAAUGAAGAAAAUGCACCCAUGUGGUGCAGAGAUGGGCUGGGCUCAGGGCCAGGAGGUGGAGCAUGCAGCAGCAAAAUCGUCAUGCCUUUUCCCAACAUGGGAACACGUGGCAAGAGUGGAAAUGGGAAAUGAAGGGCAGUUGCUGCUUUCUUUUUGGUUCACCCUGCUGGGUUCUGGUUGUGGAUAGCAGCAAUCUGUCCUUUUAAUAAUGGCAGGAAAAAGGGUGCAAAAUAAGAUAGCAAGGAACCCAAUGAGUUUGUAUGAGUUUGUAUGAGUUAGAUUGACUAGGUAAGGUAACAUCAACUUUCCGUAGCACGAGAUUUGUUCUGGGAAGGUGGACUGCGUGAUUUGUGCCAGCAAGGUGGUUUCCCACAUCUAAAAGGUGGUCUCUUGCCCACCGACACACGUAGAGGGUGUGGAAAGAGGCUGUAGGACCUUCAGCCAUGGCAGAGAGUCAGCCCACAGCAGGAAAUAUCAAAGCACAGGCUGGGAGACAGUACAUUUGGAGAGAGAGCACACACAGAAUUUGGAUGCAAUAGAUGCCUUUCCAAACUGGGCUCCAGAAAGUACAGUGGGCUUACAUUAUCUCCUAACAUUGGGCCAUAGCAAAUAUAUGCCAGCAGAAUGGGUACAGCUAUGGCCUGCCGUCUUGAUUCUACAUCAGGGGUCUGCAUCAUCCUCUCGCUGAUUCUAAGACAAAGAGUCUUUCUUUUUUCUAAAGCUGGCUACUCCCAAAGUGGCAUAAAGCACCCAAAAGCCUCAUCCAAACCACAGCCACAGCGGAUGACUGUCACAUCCAUGCACACUCUCUCUUGCAGAGGCACGCGCACACAAGGCUUAUAGAAAACAUCAUGCUGUUCCUCCUCACAAUUCUUGGCAUGCAAAGAUAUGUCUUUUACUUUCAUGAAUUCAGCUGUAUACAUCUUUGUGAUAAAUGGUAUAGCUCAGAACUGGGGAAUGCCUGUAAAAUAGCUCCGCAAUGCAUAAAUGUAUUUUGGAAGUUAGGCUUUAUUACCUAGCAGUGUAUCAACAUGAGAAAGAAGCGUUAUCUUAUUAUGGAAUGGGAUGAAACAAACUUCCUCCUGUGAAAUACUGAUUUCCAAACCAGUUACCUUUAAGCUGAGGUUGAAGAUAAAGAUUGUUUCUGGGUAAAAUGCUUCAAUUUGUGGCUAAAUUCCGUAAUAAACUAUGCAUAUAUCAGAAUGACUUUCUCUGGCUUGGGGUGGUGAAGUGUGUUGUUUUCAUUAUUGCUGAGUUUCAAAAUGGCUUCAGGAAUUUUGUCGGCCCUUUCCAAAAAAACUCAACUUCGGGCAGAGAUUAAAGCAAAGGAAAUUUCAGCCCAAGGGCAAAUGUUUCACCAAGUUUAAAGUAUGUGAAACAGGGAGUUCAGGAGGAAAUAGUUCUCAAUCCUAACUAUAGCCACGCUAGCUAUAAUAUAUGGCUAAAUAUAGACCAGUGGGUGUGUCCAGCUUUCUGAAGGUGUUAUCCUUCCUCCUCUAAGACUUGCUUCUAAAAUGACCUUUCCAGGGAUAUAAUGAACCGUGUCAUAUUGCCCGUGUUGGAAAAUGUUAAGCUGUGUUAUUUCCCAGGUGAGCCCAGCCAAGCCCGGCUUUGCUCCGCGACCAAAAUUCCUUUCGUAAAAUUCAACCUUUUAUCUUUCAUGUGAAUCCAGCUUUGGGUUCAUUGAUCUCCAAGCAAACUGCACGAUAGCCCUGGAUAUUUUGUUUAUGUGUUAAAGGUUCUCACUUGGGUCACAAACCUCUGCAAAAAUACCGGGGUCAAAGAGCUAAAAACAUUGCUUUUGCUUUUGCAUCAGCUUCAGAAUGCCAGCCCUAAUGGUCUGGGCAGGCUGCACAUCCAAACUCCCUUGGACUUGCUGCUUGUGGUUGUGGGAAUAUGUUGGCUGCUCUGUUUUUGUGCAUUUCAUGUUUGGAGUGCCUACCGCAGAAACGGGAUGACUUUUCUCGCCUGCUGAUAUGGAUGUGGCUGCAGCAACAGAAAAGACAGUGUUAUAUUAAGGUGAUUUUCUCUUCCCCUCCACGGAAGGAACAAAAAAACACAAGCUCCAAUGUCUCCGCAUGGCAGUGAGUGGGCUGGUUUGUUGUGACUAUCUGCUGGCUGACUCCGUCUCUCUUUCCAGCCCCCUCAAUCGUUACUCUUGUUUACUAGCUGGAACAUUUAGCUAAUUAAUGGCAGGAUGUUUGGGAUAGCGUGUAGGUGGAUAAGAAUGCAGAUCGCACCAGUUUGAUGUUUGCAGGCGACUUGCUGCUGUCAGCCCCUUUGUAAAACGCCAUGUCAUCUUUGCUCAGUUGUUUGGAAGUCUGUGUGUUUUGGUAGCAGUGUUGUUUUGGGAGGCAGGACGGGGCAGAAAGAGGCCAAAGAUAUUCUGAGUUUUCCAAGAUUUUUACAAAAAGUCAAAAACCUGCACUGCUUUCCACUGCGUUUCCUCCAAGUCAUUCCUUCCAGCUCAAUGCAGGAAGGGGCUUUUAGAUAAGAGCAGCAGUAGAGAGGAGCUUGGGCAACCUACACUUUAUCACAAAGGCUUGUCACAGACCCAGAAGCAAAGCAGCCAGCCCCGAAUUCCCAGUGCUGCCAUCUCUGCCUGCUGCACUCCCAUAGGAGCCCAACCCACCAGGGGAAGGCUCUGCAGCCAUUUGGCACAAAUCUGCCCCGCUCCCUCAGCAUUUCCCAAAGUAUCCAAACAACCGUGGCCACCUCAGUGAUUCUAGAUGCAGCCUGCAUGCAGCGUGCUGCCCGAGGAGAUGUUUUCCCCAUCACCAACAAAAGCAAUGCUGCUGUUGGAUUCGAAGAAGAAAUACGCCCUUCAUUGUCUUUCUGUAUUUCAGCUCACUUUGUUUUCAGAUUUACUUUUUCAAUCUCAGUCCCUCACUCUACAAUUCUUCCCGUCCCCCUCUCCUCCAGCCCGGGCUGUCCUCACCGACGGAUUCGUUUCUUCACAUCAAAUCCGUACAAAUAUAGAGCUAACCACAAGGAGCUGAACCAGAGAGAAGGGCUUAUGCCUCAGCCCAUCCCUGCGAUCUGCUGCCUGUGUCCCUAGGGCAGCCCAGGGGUCUGCGUCAGCCGCCUGGAGCACAGGCUUCAAAUCUGACUUAAACCUCAAAUUAAGACGGAGCACUCAAGGGAUCAAGGGGAGAUCAGCAAAAUAUUACUUUUAUAUAGUGCAGCCGUCCUCCUCCUUUGUGCUGAGUAUGUGAGGUCUUAACUUUUACUCCCACCGCAUGGUAUUGUGGUCAUUUGUAAGUGGUUUUCUUGCCCGGCUUUCCUGGACCUGCUUGCGAAAGCUUUGGAAGUAUCUGUAUUUUAAACAAACAGAAAAAUGCCUCUUCUCUUUGCAACCGAAAUGCUGCCAACGUGAACUUUGUACGUCAAAUAUUACUGCCGCUCGUCAGUUGUUUUGUUUGGUUUCUUUUUGUACCUGCUUACCCUUCUGUAUUCUGGAAUUAAUCUAUGUGCAAAGGAGUACAAGCAUACACCACCGGGUAUUAAACGGAGUUGAGAAGCUUUCUGAUGUUCCAUCUGUGCUUGUUGAAAUAUAUGAUUAAACUUUUCUUUUUACCAUCAUU
Molecule: non-coding RNA, 3607 nt
Organism: Meleagris gallopavo (turkey)
Lineage: Eukaryota; Metazoa; Chordata; Aves; Galliformes; Phasianidae
Source: RefSeq, a predicted model, not a curated record